Molecule: ribosomal RNA, 1700 nt
Filed under: metagenome
Description: bacterial LSU rRNA
Rfam family: Bacterial large subunit ribosomal RNA
Source: RNAcentral
UCGGCAUCAUUUAUGAUGGGUAGGGGAGCUUCGUAUGCAGGCUGAAGCAUGACCGUAAGGACAUGUGGACAGUAUACGAGUGAGAAUGUUGGCAUGAGUAGCGAGACGUGGGUGAGAAUCCCACGGGCCGUAAACCCAAGGUUUCCAGGGGAAGGUUCGUCCGCCCUGGGUUAGUCGGGACCUAAGCCGAGGCCGAAAGGCGUAGGUGAUGGACAACAGGUUGAUAUUCCUGUACCGCCAAUAAGCGUUUGAGAGAUGGAGUGACACAGUAGGAUAAGCUAACCGUACUGUUGGUUAUGUACGGCUAAGCAUUGAGGCAGUCUAAAUAGGCAAAUCCGUUUAGACAAUGCUAGGAUGUGAUGGGGAAGCCCUUCGGGGCGAAGUAGCUGAUUUCACACUGUCAAGAAAAGCUUCUAUCGAGUUUAAAGGCGCCCGUACCGUAAACCGACACAGGUGGGUGAGGAGAGUAUCCUAAGGCCAGCGAGAGAACUAUUGUUAAGGAACUCGGCAAAAUGACCCCGUAACUUAGGGAGAAGGGGUGCCUGUCUAUGACAGGCCGCAGAGAAUAGGCCCAAGCGACUGUUUACCAAAAACACAGGUUUCUGCUAAGUCGCAAGACGAUGUAUAGGAGCUGACGCCUGCCCGGUGCUGGAAGGUUAAGGGGAUCUGUUAGAGCAAUCGAAGCAGUGAACUUAAGCCCCAGUAAACGGCGGCCGUAACUAUAACGGUCCUAAGGUAGCGAAAUUCCUUGUCGGGUAAGUUCCGACCCGCACGAAAGGCGUAACGAUUUGGGCACUGUCUCAACAAUAGACUCGGUGAAAUUGUAAUCCCGGUGAAGAUGCCGGGUACCUGCGACAGGACGGAAAGACCCCAUGGAGCUUUACUGUAGCUUGACGUUGGGUCUUGGUACUACAUGUACAGGAUAGGUGGGAGACUAUGAAGCAUGGACGCCAGUCUGUGUGGAGUCAUCCUUGGGAUACCACCCUUGUAGUACUGGGAUCCUAACCAUAGGCCUUGAAUCAGGUCUUGGAACACCGUCAGGUGGGCAGUUUGACUGGGGCGGUCGCCUCCUAAAAAGUAACGGAGGCGCUCAAAGGUUUCCUCAGCACGGUCGGAAAUCGUGCGAAGAGUGUAAAGGCAAAAGGAAGCUUGAUUGCAAGUCAUACAGGUCGAGCAAGGACGAAAGUCGGACUUAGUGAUCCGGUGGUACCGCAUGGAAGGGCCAUCGCUCAACGGAUAAAAGCUACCCUGGGGAUAACAGGCUUAUCUCCCCCAAGAGUCCACAUCGACGGGGAGGUUUGGCACCUUGAUGUCGGCUCAUCACAUCCUGGGGCUGUAGUAGGUCCCAAGGGUGGGGCUGUUCGCCCAUUAAAGUGGUACGCGAGCUGGGUUCAGAACGUCGUGAGACAGUUCGGUCCCUAUCCGUCGCAGGCGUAGGAAAUUUGAGAAGACCUGUCCUUAGUACGAGAGGACCGGGAUGGACGUACCUCUGGUGUACCAGUUGUUCUGCCAAGGGCAUGGCUGGGUAGCUAUGUACGGAAUGGAUAAGCGCUGAAAGCAUCUAAGCGCGAAGCCAACUUCAAGAUAAGAUUUCCCACCGUAAGGGUAAGACCCCAGGAAGACUACCUGGUUGAUAGGUCGAAGGUGUAAGUGCAGUAAUGUAUUUAGCUUAUCGAUACUAAUAGGUCGAGGACUCGACC